Molecule: long non-coding RNA, 939 nt
Organism: Suricata suricatta (meerkat)
Lineage: Eukaryota; Metazoa; Chordata; Mammalia; Carnivora; Herpestidae
Exons: 2
Source: RefSeq, a predicted model, not a curated record
CACCAUACAAAGUGGGGGGGGUGGAUGUAUGCGUUGGGCCACUGGGCCGUCAGGGCAUCUGGCUCGUAGGGGCACAGGGGCAUCUGCAGUGACUGCCGAGCUGACUCCCAUUCCGGCCAACGGGCGGCGGCACCGCGGCAGCAGCGCUGAUGCAGGCACGUGGAUGGGGCUGGGGCUAAACGGAGGGCCCCUUGCGCUCUGAGCCUCGAAGCUGACCGCCCCGCACGCCACAGGAACUCUGCCCUUGCACAGGGAGCCACCCCACGUGGGGACAGUGGCCUGAUGCCCAAGUCAACAGGCUGUACCUCUGGUAACUGUGGUGCCUGCCGGGGUAACACUCCCACCACUGAAGGCGGUGUGAUGCCAGAGGCCUUUUAGAGACAGGUUCAGGGCCCAGUUUUUCCUCCCAAAGCAGAGAGGAGACACCUGGUGAUAUCACUCUGUCUGCUGCCUUCCCCCUCCCCCCACACAGGCCUCACCCCAAAGGUGAGAAUGUCUGGCAGCCAGGGCAGCUCUGUGAGCAGCAUGUGGGGAGUGGCCUGGAGGCAGAGGAGGCAGGUCUCAAUGCCCAAGUGGCAGACAGAUGGUGUCCAUGACAAUGAAGAGGGGGCAGUGAGGGCAAAGUAAGACCUCGCUACACAGACUGUCCACGCUGGAGAAGAGUCCUCGUGAUCCAGCAAGAUGCUCUGGCCACGAGCACUGUAUGUGUCAAGGCUGCCACGCAUCAGAGAGCCAUUCAGAGCAAGCCGCAGCACCCAGGAAGCCGCCCGGUGUUCCUGAGGACUCACGAGUGCAGGAAGUGUGUCCCCACAAAGCUGCCUGGCAGGAGCACAGACCCAGAGCCCCUAGGAUAAUGCCAUCCGGGCACCUCCGGGUGAUCAGCUGCAAAACCCAGUGGUUAUAAAAUAAACACUACCCUUAACGGAAAGGCAAAGGUCA